Molecule: ribosomal RNA, 445 nt
Filed under: uncultured bacterium
Lineage: Bacteria
Description: partial 16S ribosomal RNA
Rfam family: Bacterial small subunit ribosomal RNA
Source: RNAcentral
CCUACGGGUGGCAGCAGUCGAGAAUCAUUCACAAUGGGGGAAACCCUGAUGGUGCGACGCCGCGUGGGGGAAUGAAGGUCUUCGGAUUGUAAACCCCUGUCAUGUGGGAGCAAAUUAAAAAGAUCGUACCACAAGAGGCAGAGACGGCUAACUCUGUGCAGCAACCGCGGUAAUACAGAGGUCUCAAGCGUUGGUCGGAAUCACUGGGCGUAAAGCGUGCGCAGGCUGGUUCGUAAGUUGUGUGUGAAAGGCGCGGGCUCAACCCGCGGACGGCACAUGAUACUGCGAGACUGGAGUAAGGGAGGGGGAACCGGAAUUCUCGGUGUAGCAGUGAAAUGAGUAGAUAGCGAGAGGAACACUCGUGGCGAAGGCGGGUUGCUGGACAUUAACUGACGCUGAGGCACGAAGGCCAGGGGAGCGAAAGGGAUUAGAUACCCUUGUAGUC